CUCAAAGUGACUACUUCACUGCAAAAAUGAUUUGAACAAUAAGUCAUAGUAACUUCUUUUUGUUAUUUACCUCCACUUAUCAUGAUUAGUUGUACAAUUACAACUUAAUUGUUUUCAGUCCUCCAACUCAGGUUUUUAAGCCACACACAUUGUAAAGUUUAAUGAACUCAAUACUGAGUUGACUGUCAGUCAACAGUCAAAAUGAAGUUCCAAUGACUGUCUUUUAAAAGCGAUUCAAUUUCAAUUGGACCCCCAUGUUAAAUUGUCACAAUCUACACAGAAAUACCAAUGCAUAAAUUCUGCUACUAAAAAACAAGUUUAUUUUUUAACUGUGUAUUGUGUGACUUUUUAAUAAUUCCUGUAAAUUAUAGUGAGGCUUGAAGUUAUGUAUAAUCGGACUGUACCAGCUCGCAAACUGCGAGCUGUCUGUCUGCUCAGCUGCAUCACAAACCAAUGGAAAUACUACACGGCGAACUAACCUAAAGCACGCGGCGGAUUAAUACGUUCUGAACAGCCGGAUCACAAACGUGACCUGGACCCCAUCACGCAGUACGUCGGCUCAGCGAACCAAGUGGCGGAUGAAUAUCGUUCACCAGCGAGACGAUGAACGCGAGUCGACUUUUGAAAACCGGCGCGACAGCUCGGAAAAGAGAGUCUGAGGGGAUCUCCUCCAGCUGCAUGCCGCCUAUCGGAGGGACGCCUUUUACGGCUACUUGUCCUGCCCCAUCCCCGCCACUGGUCGUUGUAUCGGUGGCUGAGCCAAGACUCAGACUAACCGUGACUUUGGAGCGACCCGGAUGUACCUGUGGGGAAGACCGUCUGCGGUAAAAGUGUAACCCUCAAACAGAUCACUUGAUAAUUGCCGAUGGAGGACAGUCGCACAGCAGGGCGCCCGGCUGGAAACGGGUCCGCCUGGCCGGCCGAACUUCACUGACCUCCGAACUGCUGUCCAGGGAGAUUAGCGGUCUUAUCCUUAUCAAAUGCGUGGUCCCUGCUACAAACACUUUCUGUUCCAUAGGCACGCAGACAGCAACAUUGAAAUUGUGAGCAUGACGGACCGUUUCUACUCUGGUCCGUGAUGUGAAGCAGUUACGAGGCCAGCUGGACGCAGUCGUUGAUGACCUGGUCCCAAGAGCGCCAGAGGUCUACAAAGCUACAGGCACUAAAGACAUUUUGAACUGCCUCAAAGAUGUAUGAGGUUGCUUAUUAUUUGUAAGUCCAUUUUACAUUUACUUUUAAGGUUUUUCUGUCUGAACCUUUUGUGAAUAUUCUCUUUAACUCCACAGAAUAUCUUGUUUAAAUACAGUAUAGAGGUUGUUAGAUAUCUGCAUGUUAUAAUGUAAAACUAUUCAUUCUAAUGUGAGAAUAAUUAUAAUUUUUGCAACAAGACAUGGUGUUUCUCAUAGCUAUAAAUUGUCAUUUGAAACAAUCCAUACUUUUAAGUAAAAUUAACUAGGAAAGUAAUUUUAACUCAAAUGAGCGAGUUGAAAUAAUUACUUAGACCUAGUAAACACAAUGCAUGAUCUCUGGAGCUGUGGACGCAUCCCACCGUCAGGCUGGAAUCUGGUUGGGAACCAUUGUAGCAGACUAGCUGCUCUUUAGCAUGUUGGACACACCAGCAUGACACGGUUACAGAAAAUGUAUUUCCCGCCAAAUAACACUGGUUGCUGAAGCCUGUUUUGGGAGGAGGGUGUUUUAAAACUGAAAACUGUGACCGUGAACUGAGAGAAUAAACAUGUCCCUCAAUAUGUAGAUAAGAUUGCAGUUUAGUGACACUGGAAUGUUUGGACAGGUUGUCUCCAGUGGCAGAGAGACACCUUUUACUUGAAAUACAAUAUUGUAUCGUAAAGCACAUUCCAUCUAUGCAGCUUCCUGAUCCUGAGCACUUUGUUGGUGCCAAAGUGUGACACUUGUGUUAGUGAGUCCACCUCUUCACUCUGCUGCUACUGAUGCAUCCGGCUUCGCUGUCCCGGUAACUGAGAAUACUCUUCCUUAUUAUAAAAAUUGAAUGUUUAACAAU
Molecule: long non-coding RNA, 2020 nt
Organism: Gasterosteus aculeatus aculeatus (three-spined stickleback)
Lineage: Eukaryota; Metazoa; Chordata; Actinopteri; Perciformes; Gasterosteidae
Source: RefSeq, a predicted model, not a curated record